Meleagris gallopavo (turkey) is the source of this 318-nucleotide non-coding RNA. The record is from RefSeq and is a predicted model, not a curated record. NCBI's taxonomy places the organism in Eukaryota, Metazoa, Chordata, Aves, Galliformes, Phasianidae.
CUUGGGCAGCAUCCAACUUGUACAUCACACCACCAUCCACGGUGACACGGAGGAGCUGAGGAGCAUGGCCCGCAGUCGCGACGUCCCCCGGCCGCUCUCCACCCUCCCCAUGUUCAACGUGCGCACGGGGCAGCGCACCAACCCCAUGGUGGGACCCCCCGAUGGGGCUCGGGACCCCCUGAUCCCACAGCAGCGGUAACAGGCAGCGUGGCUGUGCCCCCCCCUCCCCUCCCAGGAUGAGCUUGCUGCGAGCUCCUUUCUGCGAGCUGGUUGGGGUGGGGGGGGAUUUUGCUGGUAAAAUUUGGCUGUUUGCAAUGA